This 1242-nucleotide ribosomal RNA is filed under the name metagenome. Its description in RNAcentral is "bacterial LSU rRNA". It matches the Rfam family "Bacterial large subunit ribosomal RNA", at positions 1564 to 2816 of the family's 2925-position model. The record is from RNAcentral.
UGAGUACGAGAUGCUACGGCAUCGAAGCAGUCUAUGUCAUACUUCCAAGAAAAGCUUGCACUGUCAUAAACAAAGAAUGCCUGUACCAUAACCGACACAGGUGGGUAGGUAGAGUAUACUAAGGGGCGCGAGAUAACUCUCUCUAAGGAACUCGGCAAAAUGACUCCGUAACUUCGGGAGAAGGAGUGCCUUAUUUCUAAGGUUGCAAUAACAAGAUCCAAGCAACUGUUUACCAAAAACACAGGUCUCCGCUAAGUCGUAAGACGAUGUAUGGGGGCUGACGCCUGCCCAGUGCCAGAAGGUUAAAGAAGUUGGUUAGCAUUAGCGAAGCUGAUAACUGAAGCCCUGGUGAACGGCGGCCGUAACGAUAACGGUCCUAAGGUAGCGAAAUUCCUUGUCGGGUAAGUUCCGACCCUCACGAAAGGCGUAAUGAUUUGGAUACUGUCUCGGAGAGGGGCUCGGUGAAAUAGACUUGUCUGUGAAGAUGCGGACUACCUGCACCUGGACAGAAAGACCCUAUGAAGCUUUACUGUAACUUGAGAUUGAAAUUGGACUUUAUUUGCGCAGUAUAGGUGGGAGGCGUUGAGAAUAAUCUUGCGGGAUUGUUGGAGCCAUCAGUGAGAUACCACUCUUGUAAUGUUAGAUUUCUAACUUUGUAUCAUUAUCUGGUCAAAGAACAGUUUCAGGCGGGCAGUUUGACUGGGGCGGUCGCCUCCCAAAGGGUAACGGAGGCGCACAAAGGUUUCCUCUGAACGGGUAGAAAUCGUAUCUAGAGUGUAAAGGCAUAAGGAAGCUUGACUGUGAGACCUACAAGUCGAGCAGGGACGAAAGUCGGUCUUAGUGAUCUGACGGUGCUGAGUGGAAAGGCCGUCACUCAACGGAUAAAAGUUACUCUAGGAUAACAGGCUGAUCUCCCCCAAGAGUUCACAUCGACGGGGAGGUUUGGCACCUCGAUGUCGGCUCAUCGCAUCCUGGGGCGGUAGUCCGUCCCAAGGGUUGGGCUGUUCGCCCAUGAAAGCGGUACGCGAGCUGGGUUCAGAACGUCGUGAGACAGUUCGGUCCAUAUCCGGUGUAGGCGUUAGAAUAUUGAGAGGAGCCUUCUCUAGUACGAGAGGACCGAGAAGGACAUACCUCUGGUGUACCAGUUAUCGUGCCAACGGUAAACGCUGGGUAGCUAUGUAUGGAGUGGAUAACCGCUGAAAGCAUCUAAGUGGGAAGCCCACCUCAAGAUAAGUAUUCUCA